GGUGGCUCAGUGGUAGAGUACUUGCCUAGCAUGCAUGAGGCCCUGGGUUCAAUUCCUCAGUACCA
This 65-nucleotide transfer RNA is filed under the name Dipodomys ordii (Ord's kangaroo rat). It matches the Rfam family "tRNA". Rfam says of the family: Transfer RNA (tRNA) molecules are approximately 80 nucleotides in length. Their secondary structure includes four short double-helical elements and three loops (D, anti-codon, and T loops). The record is from Rfam by way of RNAcentral. Lineage: Eukaryota; Metazoa; Chordata; Mammalia; Rodentia; Heteromyidae.